GUGAUGAGCCAGGCAAUACGGAAAUGUGACGCACCACGACCUCCUCUGA
Molecule: small nucleolar RNA, 49 nt
Filed under: Pyrobaculum islandicum DSM 4184
Lineage: Archaea; Thermoproteati; Thermoproteota; Thermoprotei; Thermoproteales; Thermoproteaceae
Description: PISsR62
Source: RNAcentral